RNAcentral lists this ribosomal RNA (444 nucleotides) under uncultured bacterium. RNAcentral's name for it is "bacterial SSU rRNA". It matches the Rfam family "Bacterial small subunit ribosomal RNA", at positions 338 to 795 of the family's 1533-position model. The record is from RNAcentral.
CCUACGGGUGGCUGCAGUCGAGAAUCUUCCGCAAUGGACGAAAGUCUGACGGAGCGACGCCGCGUGGUGGAUGAAGUCCUUAGGGACGUAAACACCUUUUAUGGAGGAGAAAGUUUAUUGAUGUUACUCCAUGAAUAAGGGGCUCCCAACUCUGUGCCAGCAGGAGCGGUAAUACAGAGGCCCCAAGCAUUAUCCGGAUUUACUGGGCGUAAAGGGUGCGUAGGCGGUUAUAUUAGUCAGGUGUUAAAUCUUUGGGCUCAACCCAAAAAUCGCAUUUGAAACGGUAUAACUAGAAGAAGUCAGAGGCAAGCAGAACUCACGGUGUAGGGGUGAAAUCCGUUGAUAUCGUGGGGAAUACCAAAUGCGAAGGCAGCUUGCUGGGACUCUCUUGACGCUGAGGCACGAAAGCGUGGGUAGCGAAGCGGAUUAGAUACCCAGGUAGUC